GGCGGCGUGCCUAAUACAUGCAAGUCGAGCGGACAGAUGGGAGCUUGCUCCCUGAUGUUAGCGGCGGACGGGUGAGUAACACGUGGGUAACCUGCCUGUAAGACUGGGAUAACUCCGGGAAACCGGGGCUAAUACCGGAUGCUUGUUUGAACCGCAUGGUUCAAACAUAAAAGGUGGCUUCGGCUACCACUUACAGAUGGACCCGCGGCGCAUUAGCUAGUUGGUGAGGUAAUGGCUCACCAAGGCAACGAUGCGUAGCCGACCUGAGAGGGUGAUCGGCCACACUGGGACUGAGACACGGCCCAGACUCCUACGGGAGGCAGCAGUAGGGAAUCUUCCGCAAUGGACGAAAGUCUGACGGAGCAACGCCGCGUGAGUGAUGAAGGUUUUCGGAUCGUAAAGCUCUGUUGUUAGGGAAGAACAAGUACCGUUCGAAUAGGGCGGUACCUUGACGGUACCUAACCAGAAAGCCACGGCUAACUACGUGCCAGCAGCCGCGGUAAUACGUAGGUGGCAAGCGUUGUCCGGAAUUAUUGGGCGUAAAGGGCUCGCAGGCGGUUUCUUAAGUCUGAUGUGAAAGCCCCCGGCUCAACCGGGGAGGGUCAUUGGAAACUGGGGAACUUGAGUGCAGAAGAGGAGAGUGGAAUUCCACGUGUAGCGGUGAAAUGCGUAGAGAUGUGGAGGAACACCAGUGGCGAAGGCGACUCUCUGGUCUGUAACUGACGCUGAGGAGCGAAAGCGUGGGGAGCGAACAGGAUUAGAUACCCUGGUAGUCCACGCCGUAAACGAUGAGUGCUAAGUGUUAGGGGGUUUCCGCCCCUUAGUGCUGCAGCUAACGCAUUAAGCACUCCGCCUGGGGAGUACGGUCGCAAGACUGAAACUCAAAGGAAUUGACGGGGGCCCGCACAAGCGGUGGAGCAUGUGGUUUAAUUCGAAGCAACGCGAAGAACCUUACCAGGUCUUGACAUCCUCUGACAAUCCUAGAGAUAGGACGUCCCCUUCGGGGGCAGAGUGACAGGUGGUGCAUGGUUGUCGUCAGCUCGUGUCGUGAGAUGUUGGGUUAAGUCCCGCAACGAGCGCAACCCUUGAUCUUAGUUGCCAGCAUUCAGUUGGGCACUCUAAGGUGACUGCCGGUGACAAACCGGAGGAAGGUGGGGAUGACGUCAAAUCAUCAUGCCCCUUAUGACCUGGGCUACACACGUGCUACAAUGGACAGAACAAAGGGCAGCGAAACCGCGAGGUUAAGCCAAUCCCACAAAUCUGUUCUCAGUUCGGAUCGCAGUCUGCAACUCGACUGCGUGAAGCUGGAAUCGCUAGUAAUCGCGGAUCAGCAUGCCGCGGUGA
RNAcentral lists this ribosomal RNA (1344 nucleotides) under Bacillus sp. hjaB1. Its description in RNAcentral is "bacterial SSU rRNA". It matches the Rfam family "Bacterial small subunit ribosomal RNA", at positions 38 to 1365 of the family's 1533-position model. Lineage: Bacteria; Bacillati; Bacillota; Bacilli; Caryophanales; Bacillaceae. The record is from RNAcentral.